CAGUAAGUCAAAAUGCGCCAAUUGUGAGAAUGCGCAUAAAAAAACCUGGUGCAACGCCUAGUCUAAAUAUACCUACUCGUGCUCCGUUGAAUGUAUUGGACGGCUCACCCCAAUUGCUGAAUUUCUCGUAAAAUCGGAUCGUCGACAUCGGUUACACAAAAUAAUUCAGGAUAUUUAGUUCGCAACGUGUAGUACUUAUCCAAUUUAGAUUUAGUCUUCUCCAAGCUGUACUUGCAGCCCCUUAGAAAAGCGACUAGGAACUGAUCGUCUGUGCGUGGAUUCAAAUGAGGCUGUUGCUCUAUCCAAAUCUUCAGUGCCUGUAGAUCUGCUUCAAUGCGAUCAGGAUCCUCGUUGAGGCGCUCCUUAGCCACUGCUUGUAGCUCGGCAGAAAUGGGGCGAAUUUGAGGUGCCAUGUUAAUUGUUGGAAAACGUCCGUGUCUGCCUCAACGAUCAAAUAUUGAACUGUGACUAUUCAUAAAUUCGUGGAGUCUACAAGUUAUAGCUGAUUUGAUUAUGCCUGUUUAUCAAUUUCUGAUAACGAUAAUUGUGUACCAUAAAACCAAUAAAAACGGACACUGUGAACUUAGUUGAUAAACUAAAUAUUUCAUCAUGUCCCUAAUGUAUAGAAUUGUAAACAUCGAAAGGUACAUAAAGGUUUAUAGCGAUUCAUCAUGUA
This is a long non-coding RNA of Drosophila mojavensis, 676 nucleotides long. RefSeq lists it as uncharacterized. The record is from RefSeq and is a predicted model, not a curated record. The transcript is spliced from 3 exons. NCBI's taxonomy places the organism in Eukaryota, Metazoa, Arthropoda, Insecta, Diptera, Drosophilidae.